GUGAAUCAUCGAAUCUUUGAACGCAAAUUGCACUCUCCUCGGAGAGCAUGCCUGUUCGAGGGUCAGCCUAUAAAAAUCGACAUCGUCGCUGGUACCCGGUGUCGUUCGGCCGCUAUUGGGCUAUCUUAACUCCGUUUGAUUUAAUCGACUCAAAAUUUUCUUCUGGUUCCAUGAACGUUUCUAACACCUAUUUCUUUACACUUUCAAGGUAUCGAUUUUUACUAGACGUGACCAUCAUAACGGAUCGCGUCCAUAAUCUUUCAUUAACUGAC
Molecule: unclassified non-coding RNA, 272 nt
Filed under: Glomus sp.
Lineage: Eukaryota; Fungi; Glomeromycota; Glomeromycetes; Glomerales; Glomeraceae
Description: partial contains 5.8S ribosomal RNA and internal transcribed spacer 2
Rfam family: 5.8S ribosomal RNA (bases 1-65)
Source: RNAcentral